This 371-nucleotide ribosomal RNA is filed under the name uncultured organism. RNAcentral's name for it is "bacterial SSU rRNA". It matches the Rfam family "Bacterial small subunit ribosomal RNA", at positions 526 to 896 of the family's 1533-position model. The record is from RNAcentral.
CGUAGGGGCAAGCGUUGUCCGGAUUUAUUGGGCGUAAAGCGCGUGUAGGCGGCCAGGUAGGUCUGGUGUGAAAACUCGAGGCUCAACCUCGAGAGGUCAUCGGAAACCAUCUGGCUAGAGUCCGGAAGAGGAGAGUGGAAUUCCCGGUGUAGCGGUGAAAUGCGCAGAUAUCGGGAAGAACACCUAUGGCGAAGGCAGCUCUCUGGGACGGUACUGACGCUGAGACGCGAAAGCGUGGGGAGCGAACAGGAUUAGAUACCCUGGUAGUCCACGCCGUAAACGAUGGGUGCUAGGUGUGGGUGGUGUCGACUCCAUCCGUGCCGAAGCUAACGCAUUAAGCACCCCGCCUGGGGAGUACGGCCGCAAGGCUA